ACUGAUAAGAAUGGAACACUCCCCCGGCAUAACCGAACUCUGGAAUACCACUAUCAAGUUAGGGUACCGUGUUGGGCUGGGCCUACUAUACUAAUACAAAUAAUGGAAAGCAAUAAAGGGAGUUUGGUAAUGGAAAGCAAGAGAAUAUGGAAUGCAAAAGGACUAAUUCCAAGAACAAAAGUGCCAAUAAAGAAUGAAGUGAGCAAGUCAGGAUACCUUUAUUUUGUUAUGAGCUAUAAGCCAUGAAGUAGUCAAUAUCAGAAUUGAGCAGUGCACAAUGAAUUGAACUAGGACUUCUUUUUACUGUAACUCGAGCCUGGGAAUCCGCCUAUGCCAAGAAUCAUCCAACACAGAAAUAGAAACUUACACUCUUGGUAGAAGCCUAUUACCCCGAAAACAAGGCUUUGAUUAGCAUUAAUAAGAGGCUAGGGCAUCCAAUAGUAGACUCAGAGGAUAAAGCGCAAGAGUUUAGCUAUGUAGUAAAAGAAUGAGUAAAAGGAUCCACUGACUAAGGAGUAGAGUCAUCAGUCACAAAACUCAACCCAGCAGUAAAAGAAUGGCACUAUAACCAGACCGAUCAGAACUAAGCUCGGGACUAGCAAUCGCACCCAUGCCUAACAGACCAAGGGGCUUCUAAGACUUUAGCUACCGCUUCUCAGCCUUACAAUCCUUCCUUUCAUUCUAGCUUUACUGGAUUUGAUUCUAACUAGCCAGCUUCUGAGCCUGCCUUCUUGGUUGGGGUAAUCAGUAGGUCCCGUCCCUCCCUACCGCCUUCCAUUCUUUAUUGAA
Molecule: long non-coding RNA, 789 nt
Filed under: Musa acuminata (dwarf banana)
Lineage: Eukaryota; Viridiplantae; Streptophyta; Magnoliopsida; Zingiberales; Musaceae
Description: long non-coding RNA (MACU_LNC009726)
Source: RNAcentral